GGGUUGUGAGGUUAAGCGACUAAGCGUACACGGUGGAUGCCCUGGCAGUCAGAGGCGAUGAAGGACGUGCUAAUCUGCGAAAAGCGUCGGUAAGGUGAUAUGAACCGUUAUAGCCGGCGAUGUCCGAAUGGGGAAACCCAGUGCAAUUCGUUGCACUAUCGUUUGAUGAAUACAUAGUCAAACGAGGCGAACCGGGGGAACUGAAACAUCUAAGUACCCCGAGGAAAAGAAAUCAACCGAGAUUCCCCCAGUAGCGGCGAGCGAACGGGGAGCAGCCCGGAGUCUGAAUCAGCUUGUGUGUUAGUGGAAGCGUCUGGAAAGUCGCAGGGUACAGGGUGAUACUCCCGUACACUAAAACGCACAGGCUGUGAACUCGAAGAGUAGGGCGGGACACGUGGUAUCCUGUCUGAAUAUGGGGGGACCAUCCUCCAAGGCUAAAUACUCCUGACUGACCGAUAGUGAACCAGUACCGUGAGGGAAAGGCGAAAAGAACCCCGGCGAGGGGAGUGAAAAAGAACCUGAAACCGUGUACGUACAAGCAGUAGGAGCCUCUUUAUGGGGUGACUGCGUACCUUUUGUAUAAUGGGUCAGCGACUUAUAUUCUGUAGCAAGGUUAACCGUAUAGGGGAGCCGCAGGGAAACCGAGUCUUAACUGGGCGUUAAGUUGCAGGGUAUAGACCCGAAACCCGGUGAUCUAGCCAUGGGCAGGUUGAAGGUUGGGUAACACUAACUGGAGGACCGAACCGACUAAUGUUGAAAAAUUAGCGGAUGACUUGUGGCUGGGGGUGAAAGGCCAAUCAAACCGGGAGAUAGCUGGUUCUCCCCGAAAGCUAUUUAGGUAGCGCCUCGUGAACUCAUCUUCGGGGGUAGAGCACUGUUUCGGCUAGGGGGUCAUCCCGACUUACCAACCCGAUGCAAACUACGAAUACCGAAGAAUGUUAUCACGGGAGACACACGGCGGGUGCUAACGUCCGUCGUGAAGAGGGAAACAACCCAGACCGCCAGCUAAGGUCCCAAAGUCAUGGUUAAGUGGGAAACGAUGUGGGAAGGCCCAGACAGCCAGGAUGUUGGCUUAGAAGCAGCCAUCAUUUAAAGAAAGCGUAAUAGCUCACUGGUCGAGUCGGCCUGCGCGGAAGAUGUAACGGGGCUAAACCAUGCACCGAAGCUGCGGCAGCGACACUAUGUGUUGUUGGGUAGGGGAGCGUUCUGUAAGCCGUUGAAGGUGGCCUGUGAGGGUUGCUGGAGGUAUCAGAAGUGCGAAUGCUGACAUAAGUAACGAUAAUGCGGGUGAAAAACCCGCACGCCGGAAGACCAAGGGUUCCUGUCCAACGUUAAUCGGGGCAGGGUGAGUCGACCCCUAAGGCGAGGCCGAAAGGCGUAGUCGAUGGGAAACAGGUUAAUAUUCCUGUACUCGGUGUUACUGCGAAGGGGGGACGGAGAAGGCUAUGUUGGCCGGGCGACGGUUGUCCCGGUUUAAGCAUGUAGGCGGAUGUUCCAGGUAAAUCCGGAACGUUAUUAACGCUGAGGUGUGAUGACGAGGCACUACGGUGCUGAAGUGACAAAUGCCCUGCUUCCAGGAAAAGCCUCUAAGCAUCAGGUAACAUCAAAUCGUACCCCAAACCGACACAGGUGGUCAGGUAGAGAAUACCAAGGCGCUUGAGAGAACUCGGGUGAAGGAACUAGGCAAAAUGGUGCCGUAACUUCGGGAGAAGGCACGCUGAUAUGUAGGUGAAGUGGUUUACCCAUGGAGCUGAAAUCAGUCGAAGAUACCAGCUGGCUGCAACUGUUUAUUAAAAACACAGCACUGUGCAAACACGAAAGUGGACGUAUACGGUGUGACGCCUGCCCGGUGCCGGAAGGUUAAUUGAUGGGGUUAUCCGUAAGGAGAAGCUCUUGAUCGAAGCCCCGGUAAACGGCGGCCGUAACUAUAACGGUCCUAAGGUAGCGAAAUUCCUUGUCGGGUAAGUUCCGACCUGCACGAAUGGCGUAAUGAUGGCCAGGCUGUCUCCACCCGAGACUCAGUGAAAUUGAACUCGCUGUGAAGAUGCAGUGUACCCGCGGCAAGACGGAAAGACCCCGUGAACCUUUACUAUAGCUUGACACUGAACACUGGUCCUUGAUGUGUAGGAUAGGUGGGAGGCUUUGAAGUGUGGACGCCAGUCUGCAUGGAGCCAUCCUUGAAAUACCACCCUUUAAUGGCUGGUGUUCUAACGUGGGCCCCUAAUCGGGGUUGCGGACAGUGUCUGGUGGGUAGUUUGACUGGGGCGGUCUCCUCCUAAAGAGUAACGGAGGAGCACGAAGGUCAGCUAAUCCUGGUCGGACAUCAGGAGGUUAGUGCAAUGGCAUAAGCUGGCUUGACUGCGAGCGUGACGGCGCGAGCAGGUGCGAAAGCAGGUCAUAGUGAUCCGGUGGUUCUGAAUGGAAGGGCCAUCGCUCAACGGAUAAAAGGUACUCCGGGGAUAACAGGCUGAUACCGCCCAAGAGUUCAUAUCGACGGCGGUGUUUGGCACCUCGAUGUCGGCUCAUCACAUCCUGGGGCUGAAGUAGGUCCCAAGGGUAUGGCUGUUCGCCAUUUAAAGUGGUACGCGAGCUGGGUUUAGAACGUCGUGAGACAGUUCGGUCCCUAUCUGCCGUGGGCGCUGGAGAAUUGAGGGGGGCUGCUCCUAGUACGAGAGGACCGGAGUGGACGCAUCACUGGUGUUCGGGUUGUCAUGCCAAUGGCAUUGCCCGGUAGCUAAAUGCGGAAGAGAUAAGUGCUGAAAGCAUCUAAGCACGAAACUUGCCCCGAGAUGAGUUCUCCCUGACUCCUUGAGAGUCCUGAAGGAACGUUGAAGACGACGACGUUGAUAGGCCGGGUGUGUAAGCGCAGCGAUGCGUUGAGCUAACCGGUACUAAUGAACCGUGAGGCUUAACCUUACAACGCCGAAG
This 2928-nucleotide ribosomal RNA is filed under the name Klebsiella sp. M5al. RNAcentral describes it as "bacterial LSU rRNA". It matches the Rfam family "Bacterial large subunit ribosomal RNA". Lineage: Bacteria; Pseudomonadati; Pseudomonadota; Gammaproteobacteria; Enterobacterales; Enterobacteriaceae. The record is from RNAcentral. RNAcentral also lists the same sequence under 1 other name.